UUUUAUUUUAGAAGAAUCCAAAGGAAAUUCCAGCACUAUGUUACCUCAUUAUCUGGUAUCCAUGGUGGUUCAUCUAACAGGAAUGGACUAGAGACAUCUUCCUCUAAACUGACGGUGCGAAGGCCACUUUUUGAUCGCACUAACAUUUUCCCAGGGGCCGCCAUAUUUACAACUAAUCAGAGGCAACAAGAGUGAUGUAAACAUGUGGAAUAUUAAAAUAGGAAUAAAAACCUAAAUAGUCAUUCAAAUUAUUUUCUUGGCCAAAACACCUGUUUUGAAAUAUUAAACAUAUCAUAAGAAAAGGAUCGAAUCAAAAACACAGUAAAUUUAUCAAAAUUAUAAAGAUCAAUCUUAGUGUCCUUUAAAUAAUGACGUCAUUUCUACUUCGAAAAACAACAUUUCUAUUAUCGCCCACUAUUUCUCAAAUAUGUAGAUUAGUCAUUGUCACAUCAAUUUGGACAUUCGGAUGGAAUAAAUCAUGAUAUAGUGUAGUUCACUUGUCAAAGUAUACACAUAAACAAAAACGAUGUUCUAAUGUAGCAGGAUUAUAUGGUAAUUCUCAACUAGAAAAUGGCAAACUUUCGGGGUUCGACUUCUGAUUUCAUCAAUUUUUUGACUAUGAAAAAUUCAAAUUAUUGGAGAAAUAUAGCUGGGUUGUUUAUCAUAUUACCCCAGUUUAUACAUGGAUCAAUGUAUCACAUAACUGAUCAAGAGUGGGAAUGGAGGGAUGGCAGUGCUGAAGGAGGACAAUAUUCUACCCAAAUUAUUGACAGUGAUCCAAUAAAAACCCAGCAAUAUCCUGGUUCCCGACAGGGUGCUACAGUAUGGAAUUCUGGGAAGGAACUCUGGCUAUUUGGUGGGAAAGGACCAAAUGGUCGAUCAGGUGCAAUAAAUGAUUUGUGGAAAAUGGAGAAUGAAACAAUGAAGUGGAGUUUAGUUGAGUUUGAUGUUGGUUCUCCCAAGCCAGAGGGAAGAAUGUUAGCCUCAUCUUGUGGUGUACCUGGCUUGUUCUUCUUCAUAUUUGGAGGCAUGGAUGAUAAUGCACAUUUUGGUGAUGCCUGGGUGUUUUACAUGAAAAAGCAAGAAUGGGUUCCCUUGAUAAAUCAAUCUAGAAUUGUUCCACCUAGAGGGGCAGCUGCGUAUUGGUGUCUAAAGGAUAGACUGAUUAUAUAUGGUGGCAGAAAUGUGAAAGGGGACAUAUUAUCUGACAUGUGGUCACUUUCAUUGAAAGACCUUCAGUGGACGCUGCUAAAUAACCCAAGCCCCUCCCCUGGCAGUAGAGAUGGGGGAGCAACAUGGAGUGCCAAAAAUGAAACAAUGAACUUGUAUUUAUUUGGAGGUAAUUCACUAGAGACGAGAGACAGUCACCUGUCUAAAGGCUUCAUGUCGGAUCUCUGGCAGUUCACAGUAGAGACAAACUCCUGGCAGUUACUACAUGGUGACAGUGUUAGACACAAGCCAGGAGUGUAUGGAUCCCUAGGUAUACCUGAUCAAUCUAACAUCCCAGGGAGCAGAAAGCAUAGUGCUACAUGGAUUGACACUCACGGCGAUUUAUGGAUGUUUGGGGGAGGUGGCCAAGAUAAAGAAACUAAAACCACCCCCAGCCAAUCAGGAAAACUUCUCUCUGACCUCUGGGUGUUUGAUAUUCAACAGAGAGUUUGGGUCUGGCUAGGGGGGCCAGAUAUAGGAGAACAGGAGGCCUUCUAUGGGAAACUGCGGAGUAAGUCCCACCAGCAUAUACCUGGGCCUCGCUGGCAGGCUGUCACAUGGUCACACAAGAACACAUUCUAUAUGUUUGGAGGAGAGGGGCAUGAUAAAAACAAUCAAGAUAGUAUAUUAAAUGACCUGUGGUUAUUAACAUUCAAUAUACCCCCCGUGGGACAUAAAAAUGACCCUAAUGGCUUUUUAGGCAUUGGACAAUCUCUCAGUCCUGGAGCUUUAUUAGGGGUAUGUUUUGCAGGAGCAUGCCUCAUCGCAAUUCUAUUUGUUCUGUUGAUGUAUGCAAAGAAGUGUUGGCAUGCUCCAAGACACAAACCUGUGUUGUACAACAUAAGGUAUUCAUCUUUGAUUGACGAUGAGCAAUUUGAAGAUGAUUUUACUGAUGACGAACAAGAUGAGCUAUUUGAACAAAAUAAAUGGCGUCAAAAUGGAAAAUCCAGUAACACGAUGAGAUAAUAGAUGGACAAGACAGUUUCUUAUUCAUUUAAUCUUCUUUAAUUGGAUUAGUCAACUAUUAUAUCAGGCGUAGUCACCUUUUGUAAGGCCUAGGUACCUAUUUUAAGACCUAGGUAGCAUCCAUUGUAAGGCCCGCACUGUAAAAUCACGGUACCAUAUGGUACAUAAAGAGUAUCCAGGUACCAUAAGGUACCGUUGGAGUAUGGUGUUGUUUAGUGUUCAGGGUACCGUACUGUAUCAUUUUAGUCUGCGGUACCAUACAGUAUCAUAUCAUACGGUACUGUACGGUUCUGUUGCAGAUGGGCUGUGUAGUCACCCAUUGUAAGACCUAGGCCCAUAUCGGAAGGCCUGAGGCCUCAUUAUCUGGUCAGCGCUAAAUUAGGCAAUGCAUUUGGGCUGGUUUCCCUUUGAGAUGACUGAAUAAUACCGACUUGCUUGCCACUCGCUAAAUAUUUAC
Molecule: unclassified non-coding RNA, 2632 nt
Filed under: Owenia fusiformis
Lineage: Eukaryota; Metazoa; Annelida; Polychaeta; Sabellida; Oweniidae
Description: misc RNA OFUS_LOCUS18137
Source: RNAcentral